GGUACUUCCACCCAUAUAGAAGGUGAACUAUGUGCUACAAUGAGAAGAACACAGGAGCCUAUCAAAAACACAAGCAAAGCAACGACCUUUGUGCCAUUGCAGGAAUCAACAUGAUUGCAGAGCAGUCUUGCUGCUGCAGGACUACACGAGGCUACAACAGGAGACUUUUAAUUUGGUUUAUCAGCAGGUCAUAUGAAUUUCAGCAAAGUGUUCCAGUCUACCUCAUCUUUUUUUUUUUUUUUUUUUUUUUCAUUUUUAGAAAAUAAAUCAGACUUCAUAACAUAGGCAAGAUGUUAUGAGAAACGCCCCUGAGUUCUGGUCUGAAAAUCACCAUGUCUCUGGAAAGGAGAAGGCUGGAGCACCCCUCCUACGAAGAGAGGCUGACGGAGCUGGGCUUGCUCAGCCUGGAGAAGAGAAGGCUCCAGAGAGACCUCACUGUGUUCAGCCAGUACUUAAAGGGAGAUUAUAAACAGGAGGGGAAUGAACUUUUAAAACAGGCCCCUCCAAAGCACAACAUUGAUGCCAAGACCACAAAUGGAAGCCACAAGGAGGAAAAUGAUAAGCAUCUUUGCAUUUCCUGGCACUCAGGCUGCCUCAGCAAGGAAUUCAUUCCCUGCCUGAACUGCUCAGCAAUAUGCACACCGUUUUACAUAGAGAAAUGGGACUGGAGGAGGAACGUAGCCCACAGAGUGCUUCAGUAUGAUGCCAUCCCCCAACUGAGCUGUUUCUGCAUCUGGCCAUCAAAGCUCUUGUCGUGUGGACGAAAUCUUGAGACACAUUCAAGACGAUUUACUAUUCUGCUCUACAAAUUGGAUAUUUACAGGCCUGGAUUGAACAUCUAUAUUCCUCUACCCAGAAGUAGCACAUAUUGACCCAAUUUCUGUGCUUAAUAGUAUGCUGUAAAUCCAGACCAACUUCACAUAUUUCAGCAGAUUUACUUCAAGGUGACUGAGAUUAGAACAUGACGUAGAGAAAUAUGUUGCUUCAGCCACAACUAUCUUUUCACUUGUUGGUUUAACACCCCUGUGCUGCUUAAUUAGGGGAAUGCUUCAGAUCUGAUCUUAAACAAACCAAUAAACCCAAAGCAAUAACCACCUUAUCUACUUCACUCCGACCUUCGCUGAAAGGCCUCCUCAGCCUUCACCUCAUAAUUUUAUGCUGACUGUGGGGAACAUCCUAGAGCCAGAAGGAGAUCAGAGAGGACAGUACCAUAUCUCCCAGUUACUACCUUUGUCCAGGCUUUUGCUCAUUGCACUCCUCGAGUUACUUGCUUUUUCUUGCCUUUUAUAUGAUUUUGAAAGGCAAACAGCAACACGUUUUGUUUCCAGACACUAACAUACUUUAAAGUUUGCACUCAACCCGUAGGAUUUGCAGGGCAACAGUCGUCAUCACUGUCGCCAUCGUCAAAGUGUCCUGGAAACCCAUUCCUGUAGAGACGGCAAGGCAGAAAGGGUUCAGCAUGGCAGUAGAUGGCGCUGAAGACCUUGGAGCACACCAAGGAGCCUUGGAUGACCCACACACCUUCCGAGGCCUCUCAAGGAGCCUUUUCCCCCUCUGUUCCUUUGCUUUCCGAAAGAGCAACCACCACACAGGGACGCGAGAAGACCUUCCCAAUGAAAUUUGGGCCACUGGGGCUCAGUGCAGAGCAGGCUAAUCUUAGAGAAACUCUUAGUAGAUGGGGGAUCACACACUGUGGAUGAGAGUUACUGGCUCUAACAGGGAGCGUGAAAAUGGCAGCAAACCAUGCACCAUGGAACAGCCCUCUUUCUGGGUAGGUGUAGUGCCUUCUCCAACACUUUGCUACUCCCUCAUUUGCAGAGUUCAGCAUGGUUGCAGAGAGCUGAUGGCCUUCUUUCUCUGAUUGCAAUAAUCUCCCCAGACGCAAUUACAUUUAUAGCUUCACAGGUGUGUCUGCAAUUACAGAAGUGCUGCAAGUCAGCUCCAAGCCACUGUCUGUCACUGUUACCACGAGACUGCUGGGAACAUGUGACUACCUGUACCGUGAGAUUUCAGGUCAUCUGAACCUUCAUUCUUUCUCUUAUCUGAUAGAACAUGUCGUAUCUUAUGUGUAGCUCAAUGAAUCUGAAAAAAUAUUACCUUGACCUCCCUGACUUCCUUGUCUGUUCUUCCUGGUUUCAGGGGAAAAGUAGAAGAAAAUAAUUCCUUGGUCUUUUAUGGAGCAAAGGAUGUACAUACGUUAUAUCCAGUAGAAUGCUAUACUUUAUGGUGCACUGGCUUUGGGAUUACAUUGGUUUCCUAGGUGGGAAAUGCAGAUUUGUGUCAUUCCAGUGAUGGGUAGUUCUGACACUCUCCAGAGUUGCCUGACCCCAGCUACCUAUCCAGUCAAUGGAGUUGAUGGUGUCAGUGGUAAAAGGAUGUUCAUAUCACCUCCAUCUAAAGUAGAGAUCACAUCUACUGCUUUCACAGCAAGCCAGGCAUCACCCACCUUUCUCUUACACUGCAAUGGGGGCACUGAAGCAUGUUGCAGGAUCUGCAGUGGGAAAUCUCAACUAAGGUUUGUGUCUUCUUAGUAAAUUGCUG
This is a long non-coding RNA of Gallus gallus (chicken), 2541 nucleotides long. The record is from Ensembl. NCBI's taxonomy places the organism in Eukaryota, Metazoa, Chordata, Aves, Galliformes, Phasianidae.